AGAUCAAGCUAAAAAGGGCUGACGGUGGAUACCUAGGCACACAGAGGCGAAGAAGGACGUGGCUACCGACGAAACGCUUCGGGGAGCUGGAAGCAAGCUGAGAUCCGGAGAUGUCCGAAUGGGGCAACCCUUUGUACUACCUGCUGAAUAUAUAGGCAGGAAAGAGCGAACCGGGCGAACUGAAACAUCUUAGUAGCCCGAGGAAAAGAAAGCAAAAGCGAUUCCCCUAGUAGCGGCGAGCGAAGCGGGAACAGCCUAAACCACUAGCUAUAAGCUAGUGGGGUAGUGGGACAGCACCACGGGAGAUGGCGGACUAGACGAAGCAGUUGAAAACUGCACCCGAGAAGGUGAAAGUCCUGUAGUCAAAAGAACAAAAUCCCCAGCUGAAUCCCGAGUAGCACGGGGCACGUGGAAUCCCGUGUGAAUCAGCCAGGACCACCUGGUAAGGCUAAAAACUACUGUGUGACCGAUAGCGAACGAGUACCGCGAGGGAAAGGUGAAAAGAACCCCGGGAGGGGAGUGAAAAAGAACAUGAAACCGUCAGCUUACAAGCAAUGGGAGGACGAUUAAACGUCUAACCGUGUGCCUGUUGAAGAAUGAGCCGGCGACUUAUAGGCGAUGGCAGGUUAAGACGGUGAAAGUCGAAGCCAAAGCGAAAGCGAGUCUGAAAAGGGCGUAUAGUCAUCGUUUAUAGACCCGAACCCGGGUGAUCUAACCAUGUCCAGGAUGAAGCAAGGGUAACACCUUGUGGAGGUCCGCACCGACCGAUGUUGAAAAAUCGGCGGAUGAGGUGUGGUUAGGGGUGAAAUGCCAAUCGAACCCGGAACUAGCUGGUUCUCCCCGAAAUGCGUUGAGGCGCAGCGGUUGAGGUCAAAUCUGGGGGUAAAGCACUGUUUCGGUGCGGGCUGCGAGAGCGGUACCAAAUCGAGACAAACUCAGAAUACCAGAUGUAUUGCUCAGCCAGUGAGACGGUGGGGGAUAAGCUUCAUCGUCAAGAGGGAAACAGCCCAGACCACCAGCUAAGGUCCCAAAAUGACUGCUAAGUGAGAAAGGAGGUGGGGGUGCUUAGACAACCAGGAGGUUUGCCUAGAAGCAGCAAUCCUUGAAAGAGUGCGUAAUAGCUCACUGGUCAAGGGCUCCCGCGCCGAAAAUGAAUGGGGCUAAGCAGUAUACCGAAGCUGUGGGAUUGUGAAAACAAUCGGUAGGGGAGCGUUCCGUAUAGGGAGAAGCAGUAGCGGCAAGCAGCUGUGGACAGUACGGAAGUGAGAAUGUCGGCUUGAGUAGCGCAAACUAGGGUGAGAAUCCCUAGCCCCGAAACCCUAAGGGUUCCUCCGGCAGGCUCGUCCGCGGAGGGUUAGUCAGGACCUAAGGCGAGGCCGAAGGGCGUAGUCGAUGGACAACGGGUCAACAAUCCCGUACCGGUGCUAGUAGGUGCAGAGGGACGGAGAAGGUCAAGACCAGCCGGACGAUGGUUACCGGUUCAAGCAAGCAAGGCGUAGAGGGAUGGGGAAAACAUCCGGAGUCGAGCUGCGAGUACGAGCUGCUACGGCGGCGAAGUGGGACGAGAUCGAGCUUCCAAGAAAAGCUCUAAACACUAUUGCUAGGACUGCCUGUACCCGAAACCGACACAGGUAGGGAGGUAGAGAAUACCAAGGGGCGCGAGAUAACUCUCUCUAAGGAACUCGGCAAAAUGGCCCCGUAACUUCGGGAGAAGGGGUGCCCUCAGAAAUGGGGGUCGCAGUGAAGAGGCCCAGGCGACUGUUUACCAAAAACACAGGUCUCCGCGAAGUCGCAAGACGAGGUAUGGGGGCUGACGCCUGCCCAGUGCCGGAAGGUUAAGGAAGUUGGUCAGCCUUACGGUGAAGCUGACGACUGAAGCCCCGGUGAACGGCGGCCGUAACUAUAACGGUCCUAAGGUAGCGAAAUUCCUUGUCGGGUAAGUUCCGACCCGCACGAAAGGCGUAACGAUCUGGGCGCUGUCUCGGAGAGAGGCUCGGCGAAAUAGGAAUGUCUGUGAAGAUACGGACUACCUGCACCUGGACAGAAAGACCCUAUGAAGCUUUACUGUAGCCUGGAAUUGGGUUCGGGCUUGGCUUGCGCAGGAUAGGUGGGAGGCGUAGAAGUUCACCUUGUGGGGGAACAGAGCCAUCGGUGAGAUACCACUCUAGCGAGGCUAGAAUUCUAACCAACAGCCGUAAACCGGCUGGGGAACAGUUUCAGGUGGGCAGUUUGACUGGGGCGGUCGCCUCCAAAAAGGUAACGGAGGCGCGCAAAGGUUCCCUCAGGCUGGACGGAAAUCAGCCGGCGAGUGUAAAGGCAAAAGGGAGCUUGACUGCGAGACAAACAAGUCGAGCAGGGUGGAAACACGGCCUUAGUGAUCCGACGGCACAGAGUGGAAUGGCCGUCGCUCAACGGAUAAAAGUUACUCUAGGGAUAACAGGCUGAUCUCCCCCAAGAGUUCACAUCGACGGGGAGGUUUGGCACCUCGAUGUCGGCUCAUCGCAACCUGGGGCGGAAGUACGUCCCAAGGGUUGGGCUGUUCGCCCAUUAAAGCGGUACGUGAGCUGGGUUCAGAACGUCGUGAGACAGUUCGGUCCAUAUCCGGUGCAGGCGUAAGAGCAUUGAGAGGAGUCUCCUCUAGUACGAGAGGACCGAGGAGAACGCACCGCUGGUGUACCUGUUAUCGUGCCAACGGUAAACGCAGGGUAGCCAAGUGCGGAGCGGAUAACCGCUGAAAGCAUCUAAGUGGGAAGCCCACCUCAAGAUGAGUGCUCUCACCAUGUUAAGUGGGUAAGGUCACGGAAAGAACAUCCGUAGAUAGGCGUCAGGUGGAAGCGCAGUAAUGUGUGAAGCCGAGACGUACUAAUAGACCGAGGGCUUGAUCUAAAA
RNAcentral lists this ribosomal RNA (2889 nucleotides) under Hormoscilla sp. GM7CHS1pb. Its description in RNAcentral is "23S ribosomal RNA". It matches the Rfam family "Bacterial large subunit ribosomal RNA". The record is from RNAcentral. Lineage: Bacteria; Bacillati; Cyanobacteriota; Cyanophyceae; Gomontiellales; Gomontiellaceae.